GACGAACGCUGGCGGCGUGCUUAACACAUGCAAGUCGAGCGGAAGGGCCCGACGUUUGUGUCGUGCUCGUUAGGGGAGCGGGGGAGUAAAACGUGUGUAACCUGCCCUUGUCUUUGGGGUAACUUCAGGGAACUGGGGCUCAAACCGGGUAUAAUCUCCUGAUGCGCGGGGUGCAUAGGUGAGUGUCGGCGUUUGUGGAUGGACUCGAGGCUUAUGAGCUGGUUGGUGUGGUAGUUGCGGACCAGGGGUAUGACGGGUAGGCGGCAUGGGAGGGUGACCGGCCACAUUGGGACUGCGCGACGGCCCAGACUGCUACGGGAGGCAGAAGUGGGGAAUAUUGCACAAUGGGCGGACGCGUGAGGCAGCGACGUUGCGUGCGGGAUGACGGCCUUCGGGUUGUAAACAUCUGUCGCCGGAGCCGAAGCGUUCGUGACGGUACCUGGUAAAGAAGCACCGGCUAACUACGUG
Molecule: ribosomal RNA, 468 nt
Filed under: uncultured bacterium
Lineage: Bacteria
Description: partial 16S ribosomal RNA
Rfam family: Bacterial small subunit ribosomal RNA
Source: RNAcentral